Molecule: ribosomal RNA, 695 nt
Filed under: uncultured bacterium
Lineage: Bacteria
Description: bacterial SSU rRNA
Rfam family: Bacterial small subunit ribosomal RNA
Source: RNAcentral
GCAAGUCGAACGAACUUAACCAUUAGUUUACUAUUGGAGCGGUUAGUGGCGGACUGGUGAGUAACACGUAAGCAACCUGCCUAUCAGAGGGGAACAACAGUUAGAAAUGACUGCUAAUACCGCAUAUGCCUUAGAAUCACAUGGUUCAAAAGGGAAAGGAGCAAUCCGCUGAUAGAUGGGCUUGCGUCUGAUUAGCUAGUUGGUGGGGUAAUGGCCUACCAAGGCGACGAUCAGUAGCCGAACUGAGAGGUUGAACGGCCACAUUGGGACUGAGAUACGGCCCAGACUCCUACGGGAGGCAGCAGUCGGGAAUAUUGCGCAAUAGAGGAAACUCUGACGCAGUGACGCCGCGUGCAGGAAGAAGGUUUUCGGAUUGUAAACUGCUUUAGACAGGGAAGAACAAAGACAGUACCUGUAGAAUAAGCUCCGGCUAACUACGUGCCAGCAGCCGCGGUAAUACGUAGGGAGCGAGCGUUAUCCGGAUUUAUUGGGUGUAAAGGGUGCGUAGACGGGAAGUCAAGUUAGUUGUGAAAUCCCUCGGCUUAACUGAGGAACUGCAACUAAAACUGAUUUUCUUGAGUACUGGAGAGGAAAGUGGAAUUCCUAGUGUAGCGGUGAAAUGCGUAGAUAUUAGGAGGAACACCGGUGGCGAAGGCGACUUUCUGGACAGAAACUGACGUUGAGGCACGAAAGUG